CCUACGGGAGGCUGCAGUGAGGAAUAUUGGUCAAUGGGCGCGAGCCUGAACCAGCCAAGUAGCGUGAAGGAUGACUGCCCUACGGGUUGUAAACUUCUUUUAUAAAGGAAUAAAGUGAGGCACGUGUGCCUUUUUGUAAGUACUUUAUGAAUAAGGAUCGGCUAACUCCGUGCCAGCAGCCGCGGUAAUACGGAGGAUCCGAGCGUUAUCCGGAUUUAUUGGGUGUAAAGGGAGCGUAGAUGGAUUGUUAAGUCAGAUGUGAAAGGUUGCGGCUCAACCGUAGAACUGCAUUUGAUACUGGCAGCCUUGAGUGCAGUUGAGGUAGGCGGAAUUCGUGGUGUAGCGGUGAAAUGCUUAGAUAUCACGAAGAACUCCGAUUGCGAAGGCAGCUUACUAAACUGCCACUGACAUUGAUGCUCGAAAGUGUGGGGAGCAAACAGGAUUAGAUACCCCUGUAGUC
RNAcentral lists this ribosomal RNA (460 nucleotides) under uncultured bacterium. Its description in RNAcentral is "partial 16S ribosomal RNA". It matches the Rfam family "Bacterial small subunit ribosomal RNA", at positions 338 to 795 of the family's 1533-position model. The record is from RNAcentral.